Molecule: long non-coding RNA, 366 nt
Organism: Prunus avium (sweet cherry)
Lineage: Eukaryota; Viridiplantae; Streptophyta; Magnoliopsida; Rosales; Rosaceae
Source: RefSeq, a predicted model, not a curated record
ACCUUGCACAAAUCAUAGGCAAGGUGAGCCUUAGGCAACACAACUUGUCGAUCCGACCAAGGAAAGGCGCAUGUUUUAUCAAGCUAGAUAAAGAACAUGUGGCAGCCUCCCAAGCAAUGUCCACAGUCCCACAUCAAAAUCUCACUCAAGGUGCACACCUCCCAAGAUCUAUAAAAAGGGGUGCAAGUCUCCAAAAUGAGAUCUUCCUCAUAUGCCAAAGAGCCCAAGGUGACGCAACAUCCUUAAGUUUGGCCCAAAAGUGCUCGACUAUUUUUGUGCAUCAACAUAUAUGAUUGAUGUAGUCUUCUUAGCUUAGUUCAAAAAUUCUUUGUGCAAGAUAUUUGUCCUUUGUUAAAAAUGAAUUGA